Molecule: non-coding RNA, 1034 nt
Organism: Lolium perenne
Lineage: Eukaryota; Viridiplantae; Streptophyta; Magnoliopsida; Poales; Poaceae
Source: RefSeq, a predicted model, not a curated record
CUCCGUCCUCCUCCCUCCCGCCGACGCCGAGAGACCACGGCGGCGCGGCUGCCCAGUUCGCCGGAGCGCGUGUGCAUCCAUCGAUGCGCGCGGCUCCGUCCAACUCGCCAGGCCGCGUCGCGCGCGUGGCCUAGCAAUACGCAGGCGACGUCACCACCACGAAUCGGCGGCGACGCGUCACCCGCCCCUUCCUCUGCGUCCGCCACAGAUGGACGCCGCCGUCCGACGCCCGCCUGGAGCUCCUGGUGCUCAUGCCAGACUACCUCUCCUCCGCGCCCGUCUCCACAGGAUCAAGGACAAGAUCGAGGAGUGUGUGAAUGGCUCCCCGGGCAGAUCACCCUUUUCCCUCUUCCGAUUCCUCUCCUCCGCGCCCACCUCCAGAGGAUCAAGGAGCACCGCCAGGAGUGUGUGAAUGGCUCCACGGACAGAUUAGGUUUUUCUGCUCCAAGGGAACCUUCUUUGCUUCAGUCUAAGAGAUGAAACUUGUCGAUUUGAUGAUGGAAAUUUCUGACCUGCAAUUUGCUCGAAGGCUGAACCGUUCUCCUACUUUGAGUGUAAGAGAGAUGAAACUUGUUGUUAGGAAGAUGGAGAUUGGUGAGCUGCAAUUUGCUGGAAGGCUGAACCCUUUGCCUACUUUGAGAUAAUUGACUUGGUAUGUGGUUUUCUGUGUUCAUUAGUGGCUUGAUGCUAGUGUAAGGCUGCUGGACCGUGUUGACAAGCUGAAGAAGCAGAUGCAUGACCUGGAUGAGGAGCAGCUCACCAUCCUGGAUGAUGGGAAGUACUACGAGUUUGCACUUGAGCAGCAGCAGCUGCACUUGAUUGCUUGCUAACUUCAACUUUCGAUAUAUUAUCUAAGUUGAAUAAAUUGUUGCUUCUAAUGGUUUGCAACUCGAUGAUGUACAUGAAAGCGAUUCUGCAUUUGUAAUAUAUUUAUGUUACUGGAUGUAGUUAAAAAAUGCUUAUUGUCCUCAUUUAUAUACCGUUGUGGUAUUGACUACCUUUUUGCAAAGAAAAUAUUGUCCUGGUGAUUCUCU